This is an RNA transcript of Macadamia integrifolia, 3530 nucleotides long. It is a transcript of the gene named tyrosine-specific transport protein-like, with no coding region annotated. NCBI's taxonomy places the organism in Eukaryota, Viridiplantae, Streptophyta, Magnoliopsida, Proteales, Proteaceae. The record is from RefSeq and is a predicted model, not a curated record. The transcript is spliced from 3 exons.
GGGGUGUAGUGGGUUCUAUAGCUACAUUUUUUCUUAUGAGCACUGAUCUAAUUCAAAAAAUUGAAUUUGAAGAGAGAGAGAGAGAAAAUAUAUGAAAAAAUAUCACUCCCUUUCCCCUAAACUCAAAGAUACUUUCUACUUUCCCUCACCAUGAGAAUAGCUGUUAAGUUGUCAGAUUAUUUUUUCUUAUCAAAACUACCCCACAAAUGUUGAAUACCCAAUAUAGACUUAAAUGAACUAAAAAUCGAGGAAAGGGCCAAUAUAGUCUUAAAAAUCGAGGAAAAGGGCUGUUCAAUUCACUCUCAUCUCAUAUUCUUCUUUAAGGUUGAAACCCUAGGCACCAUUGCUCUGUGCGCAAAGAUCGAUUGGAACCAUAGACUUGUGCUGAAGCUCUGCCCGCUUGAAUCCAGUCAAAGCCCUCUCAAAGCUUCCUGCUUGCAUCGCCAUUUCUCUCUGAGACUCUUCUUCUACCGAAACCCCCUCCUCUCAAAUUCCAUUUUCGUACCAUCUCUCUCUCUCUAGUGCCAUUGACGACAUCGACAUUGACUCAUGUCACAUGUGUCUCCCUCGAGGUUCGUAGGAUGUAAAAAGAAAAAAAAAUCCCUCUAAUCGUACUUAUUGACUUAAGAGUUAGUCGUGACUCAAAACCUAAUCUUUCAACUAUUUUUAGUUGGCGACAGAAGUGGCAGAAUAAGAGCGAGGCGCCACAGCAGUGGUGUAUUGGUGUGCUGAUCAUCCUGACAUUUCUCCUAAGUUCUUGCGGCGUUUUCCCUCUGGUGGUGAUGGGUUUCUGUCCUCAACUCUGAAAUCUCGAAAUCUUGACAUCGGAGGUUUAAAAAAAAAAAAAAAAAUGAUUUCUUCUCUCUAUCUCAACCUCAACCCAUCGCCCAAUCAUUUGGUCACAACUGACCGUCUCGAUCCACAUCAGAAUCAGAGACCCUUCAUUCCUCACUAUCCAGCCUUCAGCUGCACAGUUCCAAUCAUUAAGUCCUCCAAGACCAUCAUCACCUCUUCCUUCUCUAAACGGAUACACCCUUUAAUCCUCACAAGCUUCAGAACCCAAUGCACCACCACAACAUCCCUAACCGUUUAUGAUGAUGAAACCAACCAUUAUCUUAAACCUGAGCAAGUGAAAGAAGAAACUCAGGAAAAGAGCUUCUGGGCUGCCAGCAGUUUGAUUAUAGGCACUGCUGUAGGGCCUGGUAUGCUAGGCUUGCCCUCUGCAACCAUUAGAUCAGGUCCGCUUCCUUCAACCAUUACAAUCGUUCUCUCAUGGGUCUAUGUAAUUUCCUCCAUACUCCUUGUGGCAGAGCUUAGCUUUGCAGCCAUGGAAGAAGAUGGGGUUGAUGAGGUGAGCUUCACUAGUCUUGCAACCAAGGCAUUUGGAGGCCGUUUUGGCGCUUAUGUUGCUGUAGUCUACGCUUGCCUUAGCUUUUCCCUCUUGGUUGCCUGUGUCUCUGGUAUUGGCUCUAUUUUUUCUCAGUGGUUUCCAUGGAUGAAUCCUAUAGUUGCUCAUGCUAUAUUCCCUUGCAUUUCUGGUUUUAUUAUUGGGUUCUUCCCAUUUAAGGCCAUUGAUGCAGCAAAUAGAUUUUUAUGCAUCACCAUGAUUCUGUCCAUAACUGCUCUUGUGGGUGUUGGUUUAUCAGUUGGGAGAUCAAAAAUUUUGGGUUCCCUUGGGUAUGCUUCGUGGGCACCCUCUGCAGUCUUGCCUGCAAUACCUUUAACCGUACUCACAUUGGGGUUCCAUGUAAUCACCCCUUUUAUUUGUAAGAUAGCGGGGAAGACUCUGUUUGAUGCUCGUAGGGCAAUACUGUUUGGUGGAGCUGUGCCUCUGUUCAUGGUCCUGUCAUGGAAUUUGGUUAUUUUGGGGCUUGCAAGGGCGACUACAGCCUGCUCCGAAGAUCCUAUUGGACUCAUACUCUCUAUAAAUGCAUCAGCUUUACCUGCAGUUCAAGGUUUCGCAUUUUCAGCCUUGGCAACUAGUUUGAUAGGCUAUGCUGUCAGCUUCCCAAAACAACUUGUGGAUGCAAUUGAAUUAAUUUCAGGAAGAGAGAAGUCCACUAAUGUUGGUUUCAAUGAUGGUGGAAAUGGAAGGGUGGGGUUCGCUCUAUAUUGGAAAGGGAAAAGAUUUGGAACUCUAGGCCAGGUUUCUUUUGCUGCAUCAAGGUGUAAUUCUGGUUCUACAGCUGAAAAAACAUCUGUAAACAGGGGAUCUAGUUCAGCUAAUAUACCUGUAAUGCUGCUUGUGCUUGGAGUUCCAGUGUUCAUAGCUUCUUUCUUCCGCUCAGCUUUUUCUAAAGCUCUUGAUUUUGCUGGGGUUUAUGCGAAUUGCUUCCUCUUCGGGAUCUUGCCACCAGUAAUGGCUUGGAUUUACCGAUCCAGAAAAAAUUUCAGAUCAUCCUCUUCUGGAGAUGCUAACAUCCUGCCUGGGGGAGAUGCUGCUCUUCUGCUACUCUUUGGCAUUGCUGUCACGUUAGGACUUUGGCAUUAAAUGGUUGAAAGUAAGAAAAAUUAACAAAGAUACAAUGUCAUCUUAGCAGCUUGGAAACGGAGUUAUUGUCCUUAAAUAGAUCAAAUUGUUUCAUUCAAGUUUUCAAGCGUAUUCAGUUAUUCAUAUUUAGUCAUAAUCAGCAGUUUCAUUCUUUCAGAUGUUGAUGUUUACUGGACAAUUAAUGAACAAUAGUAGAACAUAGAUGAGAUUAAAAAAAAAAAAGAAAAAAGAAGAAAAAAAGGGCGUACUCAGUGCACAAGGUCGUACACAGCCUUACCCCCACUUUGCGGAGAGGCUGUUUCCUGACUCAAACCUGGGACCACUUGGGCACAAUGGAGCAGCCUUACCGUUGCACCAAGAUGAACAAGGACCUGUGUGCAGUCCAUUUUUUGGAGUAAAUCUUAUGUCCUCUAUGACAGGUAGUUAGGACUUUGACAAGCAUGCCCCAGACGAAUAUUUGCAGGAGUUUGUGGAGAAGAAGUAUCAGGAAACUGGCUGAAUUCCAAUGAAGAUUGUCCUUUUUACUGAAAUAAAGCUAAGCGGCCCGACAAAAAUGGAAAAAGAACAUUUGAAACCAAGUGGAUUCUGCUCUGCUGUUGGCUGUAUAAUGUCCAUCCUAGAUAUGGAGCUGGAGCAAAACAGCUUACCAGGAAAAGGAAAACGAGUGGAAGCAACUGUGGAAGUCACUUCCAUAUCUCUACCCAGUUUUCUCAAUCUUCUUUUGAUAUUCAGUGAUGGGAAACAAGAAGUUUUGUUCCAUAUGGUGAAUUACUCGUUUGAAUCUAUUGAGAGCCAAAUGGGUUUAGGAGGCAGUAGCUUUGGCUGGCAGGAUGGUUGGAAGCUAUCUAACUGUACUUGGUUAAAUCAAAUAGGUUAAGCAUGAAGAAGAAAAAAUUUCUUCUUGCAAAACCAUGUCAUUGUUAUGCCUUGAUUAUUUAAAUUUAUCAAUUUUCAUUAUUGAAAGGAGAAAAAUUUGUUUUACCUUUGGACAGAUUUAUGUCUGAAACUCAUUGUUUUAAUAGACUAUCAUAGCUUGCUA